CAUUGAUCCGUGAAUAUCUGAAUGGGGAAACCCACAUGAGAAUACCUCAUGUAUCCAUACGCCAAUCCAUAACGUNNNNNNNNNNGCAAAUAUCCUUUGAUCCGUGAAUGUCUGAAUGGGGAAACCCACAUGAGAAUACCUCAUGUAUCCAUACGCCAAUCCAUAACGUAUGGAAGGGAACCCGGUGAACUGAAACAUCUAAGUAGCCGGAGGAAGAGAAAGAAAAAUCGAUUUCCAAAGUAGCGGCGAGCGAAAUGGAAAGAGCCCAAACCGGAGUGCGUGCAUUCCGGGGUUCGGACCGCAUAAUUGAUUCAGCAAUUCCAGCAGAACUGUUUUGGGAAAGCAGACCAGAGAGGGUGAAAGUCCCGUAAGCGAAAGAAGAGCUGACAUGGCGGUAUCCAGAGUACAUCGAGACACGAGAAACCUUGAUGGAAUAAGCGGGGACCACCCCGUAAGGCUAAAUACUACUUAGUGACCGAUAGCGCAUAGUACUGUGAAGGAAAGGUGAAAAGGACCCCGGGAGGGGAGUGAAAGAGAACCUGAAACCCUGUGUUUACAAGCUGUGGAAGCACUUUAUAUGUGCGACCGCGUACUUUUUGUAGAACGGUCCGGCGAGUUACGCUUACUGGCGAGGUUAAGGACUUAAGGUCCGGAGCCGAAGGGAAACCAAGUCUUAAUAGGGCGGUUAUAGUCAGUAGGAGUAGACCCGAAACCGGGUGAUCUAUCCAUGUCCAGGUUGAAGAUGCCGUAAAAGGCGUUGGAGGACCGAACCCACAUCCGUUGAAAAGGGUGGGGAUGAGGUGUGGAUAGGGGAGAAAUUCCAAUCGAACCCGGAGAUAGCUGGUUCUCCUCGAAAUAGCUUUAGGGCUAGCCUCGUUUUAGUCUUGUGGAGGUAGAGCACUGAAUUUCCGCGGGGGCGUCAAAGCUUACCAAAGAAUAUCAAACUCCGAAUGCCAUUAAGAUGAUGAACGGGAGUCAGACUGUACGAGAUAAGUUGGACAGUCAAAAGGGAAAGAGCCCAGACCACCAGCUAAGGUCCCAAAGUGUGUGUUAAGUGGAAAAGGAUGUGGGGAUUCAAAGACAACUAGGAUGUUGGCUCAGAAGCAGCCAUUCAUUCAAAGAGUGCGUAACAGCUCACUAGUCGAGAGUCCCUGCGCCGAAAAUGUCCGGGGCUGAAACACAACACCGAAGCUGUGGAAUCAUACCUAGUAUGAUUGGUAGAGGAGCAUUCUUAAGACCGACGAAGCUGUACCGAUAAGGAGCAGUGGAGGGAUAAGAAGAGAGAAUGCCGGAAUGAGUAGCGAGAGGAAGGUGAGAAUCCUUCCGGCCGAAUAUCCAAGGAUUCCAGGGUAAAGCUGAUCUGCCCUGGGUAAGUCGGGACCUAAGGAGAGGCCGAGAGGCGUAUCCGAUGGACAACAGGUUUAGAUUCCUGUACCACAUAUGGUCAGAACUGUGGGGACGCAGAAGGAAAGCAUGAGCCAGGAAUGGAAAUACUGGUACAAGCAGAGGGGAUGGUGUGCUGGCAAAUCCGCACACGAAAGUCCUUGCUGUGAUGUGGAGCGAACUAGAGUAGCGAAGCAUGCGGACCGGCUGCCGAGAAAAGCCGCUAUUGUGCCAUAUGUGCCCGNNNNNNNNNNGUUGGCAAAUCCGCACACGAAAGUCCUUGCUGUGAUGUGGAGCGAACCAAAGUAGCGAAGCAUGCGGACCGGCUGCCGAGAAAAGCCGCUAUUGUGCCAUAUGUGCCCGUACCGUAAACCGACACAGGUGGAUGAGGAGAGAAUCCUAAGGCCGACGGAAGAAGUAUUGUUAAGGAACUCGGCAAAAUGACCCCGUAACUUCGGGAGAAGGGGUGCCUGAGAAAUCAGGCCGCAGAGAAUAGGCUCAAGCAACUGUUUAGCAAAAACACAGGUCUAUGCAAAACCGAAAGGUGAAGUAUAUGGGCUGACGCCUGCCCGGUGCUGGAAGGUUAAGAGGAGAGGUUAGCGCAAGCGAAGCUUUGAAUUUAAGCCCCAGUAAACGGCGGCCGUAACUAUAACGGUCCUAAGGUAGCGAAAUUCCUUGUCGGGUAAGUUCCGACCCGCACGAAAGGCGUAAUGAUUUGAGCACUGUCUCGACAAUACAUCCGGUGAAAUUGAAGUACCAGUGAAGAUGCUGGUUACCCGCGCCAGGACGGAAAGACCCCAUGGAGCUUUACUCCAGUUUGGUACUGGGAUUCGGUACUGCAUGUACAGGAUAGGUGGGAGACGAAGAAGUUAGGACGCCAGUCUUAACAGAGUCGCUGUUGGGAUACCACCCUUGCAGUAUUGGGUUUCUAACCAGCCGCUGUGAACCAGCGGUGGGACAAUGCCAGGCGGGGAGUUUGACUGGGGCGGUCGCCUCCGAAAGGGUAUCGGAGGCGCUCAAAGGUUCCCUCAGAAUGGUCGGAAACCAUUUAAAGAGUGCAAAGGCAGAAGGGAGCUUGACUGCGACACCGACGGGUGGAGCAGGUACGAAAGUAGGACUUAGUGAUCCGGUGGCAUAAAGUGGGAUUGCCAUCGCUCAACGGAUAAAAGCUACCCUGGGGAUAACAGGCUUAUCACUCCCAAGAGUUCACAUCGACGGAGUGGUUUGGCACCUCGAUGUCGGCUCAUCGCAUCCUGGGGCUGUAGCAGGUCCCAAGGGUUGGGCUGUUCGCCCAUUAAAGCGGUACGCGAGCUGGGUUCAGAACGUCGUGAGACAGUUCGGUCCCUAUCCGGCGCGGGCGUAGGAUAUCUGAGGGGAGCUGGCCUUAGUACGAGAGGACCGGGCUGGACGGACCACUGGUGCAUCAGCUGGAUACCAAAUCCAUAGCUGGGUAGCCAAGUCCGGAAGGGAUAAACGCUGAAGGCAUCUAAGCGUGAAGCCCCCCCCAAGAUGAGAUGUCCCUGU
This 2907-nucleotide ribosomal RNA is filed under the name Roseburia sp. OM03-7AC. Its description in RNAcentral is "bacterial LSU rRNA". It matches the Rfam family "Bacterial large subunit ribosomal RNA". Lineage: Bacteria; Bacillati; Bacillota; Clostridia; Lachnospirales; Lachnospiraceae. The record is from RNAcentral.